RNAcentral lists this unclassified non-coding RNA (374 nucleotides) under soil metagenome. RNAcentral's name for it is "partial contains internal transcribed spacer 2 and large subunit ribosomal RNA". The stretch from base 1 to 120 matches the Rfam family "5.8S ribosomal RNA", at positions 35 to 154 of the family's 154-position model. The record is from RNAcentral.
GAUGAAGAACGCAGUGAAAUGCGAUAAUUAAUGUGAAUUGCAGAAUUCCGUGAAUCAUCGAGCCUUUGAACGCACAUUGCGCCUCAUGGCAUUCCGUGAGGCAUGCCCAUCUCAGCGUUAGAAAAUAUUCUCAAAUUUUAGUUUUGUGCUAAAAUUUGGAUCAUGUCAAAGAAGCUAUUACUAUUAUUGUGAUCGCUCUUUGGAAAUUGAUAGGUCUUUGAGUUGCUACUCAUAGAACGUGAUGAAUCUUUCUUCGUUCUAUUGUAAUUCACUCUGGUAGUCCUAAAACUUGUAUGCCUGUGGCAUAUCUUGUAAUUUGACCUGAGAUUGGGUAGGGAUACCCGCUGAACUUAAGCAUAUCAAUAAGCGGAGGA